This 419-nucleotide long non-coding RNA is filed under the name Capsicum annuum. RNAcentral's name for it is "long non-coding RNA (CANN_LNC015342)". Lineage: Eukaryota; Viridiplantae; Streptophyta; Magnoliopsida; Solanales; Solanaceae. The record is from RNAcentral.
UGGUCAUAACAUCAACAACAUCAAGCAUUCAUAAUCACCCAACACAUAAUCAUGGUUGUUUCAACAAAUUAAAAUAGAGAAGAGGCAAUGGGCUAAAGAAAAUGGACCUUUUGAUAUCGACUUUCAUUGAAAAUAAUGUUAAAGAAGCCCGAAUAGGAGAACCUCAACAGCGAUGGAAUCCAAGCUCGGUAUCGAAGAAUUGAGACCCAAAACUGAACUCAACGAACAAGUCAGGAUGAACCGAAACCUAAAUCCCCAAACCAAAAACGACUACCGAUGAACCCAAGAUAGAAAUCGCAACAGUACAAACCCGACCCGUAUAUGAAAAGACUAUCGCAAAGUAGAUUCAAAACAAGAUCCAUUUCAGCGAAGACACCCUUGUUAUUUCAAUAUUUUCUGACUAAAUUCAACGUCGCCAG